This 261-nucleotide ribosomal RNA is filed under the name uncultured bacterium. Its description in RNAcentral is "partial 16S ribosomal RNA". It matches the Rfam family "Bacterial small subunit ribosomal RNA", at positions 524 to 784 of the family's 1533-position model. The record is from RNAcentral.
UACAGAGGGUGCGAGCGUUAAUCGGAAUUACUGGGCGUAAAGCGCACGUAGUCGGCUUGUCAAGUCGGGUGUGAAAUCCCCGGGCUCAACCUGGGAACUGCAUCCGAGACUGACUUGCUAGAGUAUGGGAGAGGGAAGCGGAAUUUCUGGUGUAGCAGUGAAAUGCGUAGAUAUCAGAAGGAACAUCAGUGGCGAAGGCGGCUUCCUGGACCAAUACUGACGAUCAGGUGCGAAAGCGUGGGGAGCAAACAGGAUUAGAAA